RNAcentral lists this ribosomal RNA (253 nucleotides) under uncultured bacterium. RNAcentral describes it as "partial 16S ribosomal RNA". It matches the Rfam family "Bacterial small subunit ribosomal RNA", at positions 524 to 776 of the family's 1533-position model. The record is from RNAcentral.
UACGUAGGGUGCGAGCGUUAAUCGGAAUUACUGGGCGUAAAGGGUGCGCAGGCGGCGUCGCAAGUCAGGCGUGAAAUCCCCGGGCUUAACCUGGGAACUGCACUUGAAACUACGAUGCUGGAGUAUGGCAGAGGGAGGUGGAAUUCCACGUGUGGCGGUGAAAUGCGUAGAGAUGUGGAGGAACACCGAUGGCGAAGGCAGCCUCCUGGGCCAAUACUGACGCUCAUGCACGAAAGCGUGGGGAGCAAACAGG